RNAcentral lists this ribosomal RNA (253 nucleotides) under uncultured bacterium. RNAcentral describes it as "partial 16S ribosomal RNA". It matches the Rfam family "Bacterial small subunit ribosomal RNA", at positions 524 to 776 of the family's 1533-position model. The record is from RNAcentral.
UACAGAGGGGGCAAGCGUUGUUCGGAAUUACUGGGCGUAAAGGGCGCGUAGGCGGCCUGCUAAGUCGAACGUGAAAUCCCUGGGCUCAACCCAGGAACUGCGUCCGAUACUGGUUGGCUUGAAUCCGGGAGAGGGAUGUGGAAUUCCAGGUGUAGCGGUGAAAUGCGUAGAUAUCGGGAGGAACACCUAUGGCGAAGGCAGCUCGCUGGGACGUUACUGACGCUCAUGUGCGAAAGCGUGGGGAGCAAACAGG